CUCGAGGAAGAGCUUUCUCUCCCUCGACCCGAUUCAUCGUGCCGUAAUCAAGAUGUUUUAUUGUUUAUACGUUUUUUUACAGCUGCUGAGUGCGUGCGUUUCGCGAUGCAUUAGCGCGGCACUGUGAACGGCAAAACAAAAACGGGGUCUCUUGGCACGAGGAGAACGGGGCCAUGUGUGAGGAUAUAACGCUGACAGUAAAAGUUUAAUGGCAUCGUCUGUUAGUCACAGGACGGAUCGGCUGAACAGAGACUCCAUCACUCUUCAGAUCACCGGGAGGAGAAGGAGGCUUCAACCAAACUCCAGAGUGACACAGAACCCUGACGAAAUGUCCUCACAAGCUCUCGGGGGCACGCGUCUAAAUUAAGCUCGGCCUGUGAGAGGGUCUCACAGGGGAACACGCGAAGUGAAUCUGUGUGAGCGGCCCCGUGUUGUGGCGAGGGCCACCCAACGGACCGGCCCGCAUCCUCGCCGCCCCGGGUACCCGGGUACCUAAGACGGGGACCCACAGGUUUGAUGACACAAGUUACCUGGUUGCAUUACAUCAGAGGUCCCCCAAACUGAUGGCGAGGUGGAGCAGGGACCCCCUAUUCUACGGAGUUUGGUCCGCCAUCUUUUCUUUUCGAGCUUCACGCUCUUUAGACGUGAGCAUGAGCGCGAUCUGAUUGGCUGGCGCCUGCGCGGUCGUAUCCGCAUGAAAGGAGCCGUGAGUGAAGCGGUGCUGAGGGAAGCUGAGUGUGUGCGUUGACAGGUGACGUCUUCUCCGUCAAUUUAUCCGCUCGCUUCAAUACGUUGGAUUCAUGUUAACGUGGAUUUAAA
Gasterosteus aculeatus aculeatus (three-spined stickleback) is the source of this 819-nucleotide long non-coding RNA. Lineage: Eukaryota; Metazoa; Chordata; Actinopteri; Perciformes; Gasterosteidae. The record is from Ensembl.